Molecule: small nuclear RNA, 84 nt
Organism: Eremothecium gossypii ATCC 10895
Lineage: Eukaryota; Fungi; Ascomycota; Saccharomycetes; Saccharomycetales; Saccharomycetaceae
Source: RefSeq
AGGGCGUCUUCGAAGAUCCCCAGGCCUGCUCUUCCGUGGCCUGGAGAUUCAAAGCGACGCCCAGAACAAGCCCGCAGUCUGUCC